GGAUAUGGUGGUUGGCAGGUUGAUCCCUCAGGUGAGUUUAUCGUUCGAAGUGGUUACAAAUUAUUACAAGGAAAUAAGGAUUUAAAUAAAAAUACAGUGGAAUGUUACAAUCUUUUUUACAAGAAGCUAUGGAAAUUGGAAUUUCCAGAAAAGGUUAAAAUCAUAGUCUACCAUAUUUUCAAGAACCUAAUAUCUAAUUUACACAAUCUGUAUAACAGUUGUUUGGUGGGAUCUGUUGUUUGCCCAAAGUGCGCAAGGGGAUGUAGAAUCUAGAACAUGGAUUUCGAGAUUGUCCUUUUGUUGUUGUUGUUUGGGACUUGUUGAACAUUAAAUAAAAUAAUGAGGAAUGAAGGAAAAUGUAAUACCCUUAACUCGUAUCCAUUGCUGAAAGAGAGUUACGGAGUAUUAUCGAAAUUUACAGAACAAUUACACAUAAUUCUUGUCAUUUAUUAUUUAUAAUCAAGACUAAUCAUGUUAUCCCUUAAAUGAACUCUCGAGGCCCAAUUUAAGUAUUAUAAGCAAGUCGGGACUAAAUCGAGAAUUCAGAAAAUUUUUCGCAAAAUUUUAAAACUUUUCCUAGGUAUAGAGGUCACAUGCUCGUGUGGCCAAAGGAUAUGCCCGCGUGGUCCUAUGACAUGCCCGUGCUUCAGGCCGUAUUUUACCCGAUGUAACUCCCUGACUUAGGUCACACGAUCAACCACAUGCCCGUGUGCUAGACCGUGUUGCCAAUUUAUUUUCCUAAAAUUAAGUCCAAUUUUCACACGGCAAAGUCACACACCAGUGUGCUAUGCCAUGUGCCCCACACGGUUGAGACACACGCCCGUGUCUCUGAUCGUGUGCUCAAUUCUGAGCGUUCUAUUUCUAAAUUUUAAGAUGCAAGGGACACAUGGCUAGACUACACGCCAAUGUGCUUGGCCGUGUGUCGUACACGGCUGAGACACACUCUUAUGUCUCUGCCUGUGUGGACGAAAAUAGGUCAUUUAAAGGAUACUUUUCUCACUCUUUUCACAAUCAACCUGCAUACAACACUGUAUACAACACUCUCGUAUACCAAUAUAAACCAAUCAAGUAACUAAUACAAAUCAAAAAUAAAGUUUUAGACCUAAUAUAUCAUCACACAACUCAUUUGCAUAAACUUACCACAUUAACUCCAUUAAUUGAUUAUUAUAAGCUAUUACUAAGUACAGGCAUACAAACAUACAUAUAUGUAUAUGUACUACUCUCAACCAUAUUACAAGUUUAUUUCUUCUUAAUUAAACCCUAUAAAUGCCAUAUAAACCUUAAGUUGCAUAACAAAAUCUACCGGAGUUAUAUGGAUAGUAUGAACCGAUGUAUUGAUUUGAUCCUCCAAACUUCUUCAAAAUCUACAAAGAAUAUUGAAAAAUUAAAGUAAGCUUAAUGAAGCUUAGUAAGUUCGUUGGCUUUAAACAUAAAUCUUACCAAACAUACUAUAACAAUUCAUUUAAGUAAAUCAUUCAAUAUACUAUUCCUGCUAACCACAACUUCAAUCAAUGAAUUCACUUAUUUCAAAUCGAUAUCAAAAUAACUUUAAAUCUUCAAACAUUAAUUUCAUAUAUCACUUACCAACCUUGUCAAAUCAGAGAACAUCUUACGAAUAUGAGUACAUCGUAUACAGAAGCCUGAAGGCUGCACAAAAGCACAUAAGUGCUAAACGGAAACCCGUAAGGGUUAAACUGAAACUCGAAAGAGUUAAACGGAAACCCAAUAAGGUUAAAUUGAAACUCAUACGAGUUUACUGAAGCUCAUGUGAGCUAAACGGAAAGCAAACACAGAAGUUCGCAACAAAUGCUGAACCUCGGUUUACUUGGGUAGUUUACCGUCAAUUCUUUUUUUACACUGAACGAAUAUAUUCAAUCCUGCGUUUUGAUCGCUUUGUACUUUCACUUUAAUAUACAUAGUUUAACAAUAAUUUUAUUUUUCAACAAUAAAUAUAAAUAUCAAUCGUCAAUUAAAUAAAUAACAUUAAAAUUUAACUAUAUGAACUUACCUGGACUAAUUUGUAAAAUUCGUUGUAGCUCAGGAACUAUUCGAAUAAUUUCUCUUUUCCUCGAUUUUCUUUGGAAUCUUAAUCUAUAAUAUAAAAUUAUUAAUUCAUUAGCACAUAUAUUUCAGCCUCAUUCCACUUCACAAUUUAUACCUUUUAAUUUUUAAAAUUGCACAUGUACCCUAAAAUUUUAUAGUUUUUACACUUUAGUCGCUAAUCAAUUAACCCAUCAAUUGAACUAAUUUUUCUCAAUUAACAAUUUAUUCCAUCAUUCUAAACUACUACACAACCUUUGAUAUUCAAAAUUUCAGCACCAAACCCUAAUUCUUAACUUUUUCACAAUUAGGUCCUAAAAUUAAUUUCUAUCAAAAUCACUUAAUAAAAUCAUCAUAUAAUAAAAUUAGAGUUUCAAAUACAUGUUAAUUCAUCAUAAAAUUUUAGAACUUAUCUAUGGAAACUUUCAAAAUCAUUCAUAGAAUCAAAAACUAAUAAAUUCAAUAGUUGGACCUAGUUGUAAAAGUAUCAAAAUCACAAAAUUCACAAGAAAUAAUCAAAAAUUGAACUUAAUUGUAAUAAGAAUAUGAAAAACCAACUUAGAAAGUCUCUUUAAUGGCUGUUUUUAGCUGAGAAUUUUGAAGAAAUCUCUAGAUUUUCAUUUACAUCCUUUUUAACUAUUAAAUUUUGUCAUUUUCCAAUUUUACCCCUCUUAACACUAGGUUUGUUAUUUCUUAUGCACACAUGUCGUCCAAGCCAUUGCCUAUGUAUCUAAUUGCCUAUUUGGUCCUCCCUUAAUUACUUCUUAAGUUAUUUAAUCCCUAUUUCUUUAAUUAGUAAGUUUUGCACCUUUUUCACUUUAGUUCUUUUUAAUUAAUUAACGAUCAAAACGCUAAAAUUUUUUAACGAAACUUUAAUACUAAUUCACUAACACUCUAUAAAUAUUUAUAAAAAUAUUUAUGAUUCAGUUUAUAAAUUCGAGGUCUCGAUACCUCGUUUUCACCUCAAUUUAUCUAAUAAAUUUUUUUAAUUCACAAAAUUUACUAUUUUUAAAAAUAUUUCUAAAAUCACAUUUCACUCGUAAAUAUUAAUUUAUUAAAUUUCAAACUUACUCAUCGAAUUUAAUAAUCUCGAAUCACUGUAUUUGACACUACUGAAAAUUAGCCUGUUACUUGAAAAAUUUUCAAAAUUAACUAUUUGGACUGUUUUUUAACUUGUCGGAAUAUACCUGUAGGCAGAUUGCAUGUACGAUUUGGAUCCUUUAGUUAUAGCGGAACAAAUGGGUGCAUGACAGAGUGUUUGCCUCGUCACAACAUAUUGUAAGUAUGAUUUCGUCCUAUGUGGCUGAACUAAAUAAAAUCGUGAAGAAAUUACCUGUUGUGAAAGUGGGUUUUGAGAUGUGGAGACCACCGGAUGAACCUUUUGUCAAGAUAAAUUUUGACGUCGCGUUUCAUGUCUUUUCUUCAAAUUCCUAUUCAGGGAUAAUCAUUAAAGAUGGUAGAUCUAAAACUAUCGCUGAAAAGGUAAUUGUAAAUGGAAAUAUAGUGUCGGUUUUUGCAGCUGAGGCCCUUGCAUGCCUUCAAGCACUCAGCCUGGGGGUGGAUCUCGGUUUCUAAAGGUGGUGGUGGAAGGGGAUUCUCUCUCUGUGAUAAAGAAAGCGAACUCGAGUGGUGAUGAUAGAUCGACCAUCGGGGCUUAUAUUCAAGACAUUAGAAUUGUCAGACAAGGAUUGAAAAAGUGUGAGAUUGUUUAUGCCCCCCAUGAAGCGAAUAGACCGGUUCAUUUCCUAGCACAAGAGGGAUGGCGAAGGGGAGAGGGUCUAAAUCUAGAGUAUGAUUACCUGGUAGAGAUGGUGGCUCUGAAUUGUGGUGGGGAUGGUGAAGAUGAUGCGGGUGGUGCGAUGGCUUCUGGAUAACCAAAGGCUUUUCCUCAAACUUUUUUGGUGAAGGGGAUUUUUUGAGGGUGAGAAGUACGAUUUUUGAGUGGAGAUUAAAUAAGAUUUUGGUUUCCAAUAUCUUUUGAGAACCUGCCCUUGUUGUUGGAAGUCACCCAUGGUCUACACGUGUAUUUCACAAGUGGGAGUGGCUCUUCUAACUAGGCUGGAAUUUGUUUGCUUUGUUUGUUUCUCAUUUCUUUUAUUUUUUAUUUUAUUUUAUUUAUUUUGAUAGGUUUGGGUGUUUCUGUACUUGUUUUUAACUUAUUUUGUUUAAUAAAUUCUCCGGCCGGAUUUUAUUCAAAAA
RNAcentral lists this long non-coding RNA (4239 nucleotides) under Gossypium barbadense (sea-island cotton). RNAcentral's name for it is "long non-coding RNA (GBAR_LNC005701)". The record is from RNAcentral. Lineage: Eukaryota; Viridiplantae; Streptophyta; Magnoliopsida; Malvales; Malvaceae.